AUUGAACGCUGGCGGCAGGCCUAACACAUGCAAGUCGAACGGUAACAGGAAACAGCUUGCUGUUUCGCUGACGAGUGGCGGACGGGUGAGUAAUGUCUGGGAAACUGCCUGAUGGAGGGGGAUAACUACUGGAAACGGUAGCUAAUACCGCAUAACGUCGCAAGACCAAAGAGGGGGACCUUCGGGCCUCUUGCCAUCGGAUGUGCCCAGAUGGGAUUAGCUAGUAGGUGGGGUAACGGCUCACCUAGGCGACGAUCCCUAGCUGGUCUGAGAGGAUGACCAGCCACACUGGAACUGAGACACGGUCCAGACUCCUACGGGAGGCAGCAGUGGGGAAUAUUGCACAAUGGGCGCAAGCCUGAUGCAGCCAUGCCGCGUGUAUGAAGAAGGCCUUCGGGUUGUAAAGUACUUUCAGCGGGGAGGAAGGGAGUAAAGUUAAUACCUUUACUCAUUGACGUUACCCGCAGAAGAAGCACCGGCUAACUCCG
This 488-nucleotide ribosomal RNA is filed under the name uncultured bacterium. Its description in RNAcentral is "partial 16S ribosomal RNA". It matches the Rfam family "Bacterial small subunit ribosomal RNA", at positions 30 to 505 of the family's 1533-position model. The record is from RNAcentral.